RNAcentral lists this ribosomal RNA (280 nucleotides) under uncultured Glomeromycotina. RNAcentral describes it as "partial 18S ribosomal RNA". It matches the Rfam family "Eukaryotic small subunit ribosomal RNA", at positions 815 to 1092 of the family's 1831-position model. The record is from RNAcentral. Lineage: Eukaryota; Fungi; Glomeromycota.
UAAUAAAAUAGGACGGCAUGGUUCUAUUUUGUUGGUUUCUAGGAUCACCGUAAUGAUUAAUAGGGAUAGUUGGUGGCAUUAGUAUUCAAUUGUCAGAGGUGAAAUUCUUGGAUUUAUUGAAGACUAACUACUGCGAAAGCAUUUGCCAAGGAUGUUUUCAUUAAUCAAGAACGAAAGUUAGGGGAUCGAAGACGAUCAGAUACCGUCGUAGUCUUAACCAUAAACUAUGCCGACUAGGGAUCGGGCGAUGUUGUUUCAAUGACUCGCUCGGCACCUUAUG